This 263-nucleotide unclassified non-coding RNA is filed under the name plant metagenome. RNAcentral's name for it is "partial contains small subunit ribosomal RNA, internal transcribed spacer 1, and 5.8S ribosomal RNA". The record is from RNAcentral.
AUUCCGUAGGUGAGCCUGCGGAAGGAUCAUUAUUGUAUAACCGAGGUGCGAGGGCUGUCGCUGACCCGAAAGGUCGUGCACGCCCGAGUGCCCUCACACACAUCCAUCUCACCCCUAUGUGCACCACCGCGUGGGUCCCCCUUUGGCUUGUUCGGAGGGGGGCUUACGUUUUCACACAAACUUUGUAUGCAGUGUAGAAUGUAUUUUUUGUUUUUGCGAUCACGCAAUCAAUACAACUUUCAACAACGGAUCUCUUGGCUCUC